AGGACGAACGCUGGCGGCGUGCUUAACACAUGCAAGUCGAGCGAGGCCCUUCCUUCGGGAAGGUGCCCUAGCGGCGAACGGGUGAGUAACACGUGGGCAACCUGCCCCUAGCACUGGGAUAACUCCGGGAAACCGGGGCUAAUACCGGAUACGACCUCGAGCGGCAUCUCUUGAGGUGGAAAGCUCCGACGGUGAGGGAUGGGCCCGCGGCCUAUCAGCUUGUUGGUGGGGUAAUGGCCUACCAAGGCGACGACGGGUA
This 259-nucleotide ribosomal RNA is filed under the name uncultured bacterium. RNAcentral describes it as "partial small subunit ribosomal RNA". It matches the Rfam family "Bacterial small subunit ribosomal RNA", at positions 26 to 285 of the family's 1533-position model. The record is from RNAcentral.